Molecule: ribosomal RNA, 468 nt
Filed under: uncultured bacterium
Lineage: Bacteria
Description: partial 16S ribosomal RNA
Rfam family: Bacterial small subunit ribosomal RNA
Source: RNAcentral
GACGAACGCUGGCGGCGUGCUUAACACAUGCAAGUCGAACGGUGAAGCUCCAGCUUGCUGGAGUGGAUCAGUGGCGAACGGGUGAGUAACACGUGAGCAACCUGCCCCUGACUCUGGAAUAAGCGCUGGAAACGGCGUCUAAUACUGGAUACGAGAAGGGUCCGCAUGGGCACUUUCUGGAAAGUUCUUCGGUUGGGGAUGGGCUCGCGGCCUAUCAGCUUGUUGGUGAGGUAAUGGCUCACCAAGGCGACGACAGGUAGCCGGCCUGAGAGGGCGACCGGCCACACUGGGACUGAGACACGGCCCAGACUCCUACGGGAGGCAGCAGUGGGGAAUAUUGCACAAUGGGCGAAAGCCUGAUGCAGCGACGCCGCGUGAGGGAUGACGGCCUUCGGGUUGUAAACCUCUUUCAGCAGGGAAGAAGCGAAAGUGACGGUACCUGCAGAAGAAGCACCGGCUAACUACGUG